RNAcentral lists this ribosomal RNA (551 nucleotides) under uncultured Glomeromycotina. RNAcentral describes it as "SSU rRNA". It matches the Rfam family "Eukaryotic small subunit ribosomal RNA", at positions 548 to 1098 of the family's 1831-position model. Lineage: Eukaryota; Fungi; Glomeromycota. The record is from RNAcentral.
UUGGAGGGCAAGUCUGGUGCCAGCAGCCGCGGUAAUUCCAGCUCCAAUAGCGUAUAUUAAAGUUGUUGCAGUUAAAAAGCUCGUAGUUGAAUUUCGGGGUCUGUCCGUCGGUCGGGCUUCACGGUCCGUACUGGUGUGAUGGGUUCCUACCUUCUGAAUAACCGGCAUGCCAUUCAGUUGGUGCGCCGGGGAAGCAGAGCUAUUACCUUGAAAAAAUUAGAGUGCUUAAAGCAGGCAAGUGCCUGAAUAGGUUAGCAUGGAAUAAUAAAAUAGGACGGCAUGGUUCUAUUUUGUUGGUUUCUAGGAUCACCGUAAUGAUUAAUAGGGAUAGUUGGGGGCAUUAGUAUUCAAUUGUCAGAGGUGAAAUUCUUGGAUUUAUUGAAGACUAACUUCUGCGAAAGCAUUUGCCAAGGAUGUUUUCAUUAAUCAAGAACGAAAGUUAGGGGAUCGAAGACGAUCAGAUACCGUCGUAGUCUUAACCAUAAACUAUGCCGACUAGGGAUCGGACGAUGUUAAUUUUUUAAUGACUCGUUCGGCGCCUUACGGGAAAC